GGAAAUAGCUCAGUGGUAGAGUGUGUGUUUAGCAUACAGGAGGUCCUGGGUUCAGUCCCCAGUACUUUCA
This 70-nucleotide transfer RNA is filed under the name Camelus bactrianus (Bactrian camel). It matches the Rfam family "tRNA". From Rfam's summary of the family: Transfer RNA (tRNA) molecules are approximately 80 nucleotides in length. Their secondary structure includes four short double-helical elements and three loops (D, anti-codon, and T loops). RNAcentral also lists the same sequence under 1 other name. Lineage: Eukaryota; Metazoa; Chordata; Mammalia; Artiodactyla; Camelidae. The record is from Rfam by way of RNAcentral.